GCUCGUAGUUGGAUUUUGGGCGCAGGCGGCCGGUCCGUCGCAAGGCGUGUACUGGCCGUCCUGGCCUCACCUCCGGUUCUCCGCCGGUGCCCUUGACUGAGUGUCGGCGGCGGCCGGAACGUUUACUUUGAAAAAAUUAGAGUGUUCAAAGCAGGCGAUUCGCCUGAAUAAUGGUGCAUGGAAUAAUGGAAUAGGACCUCGGUUCUAUUUUGUUGGUUUUCGGAGCGCGAGGUAAUGAUUAAGAGGGACAGACGGGGGCAUUCGUACUGUGCCGUUAGAGGUGAAAUUCUUGGAUCGGCGCAAGACGAACGACUGCGAAAGCAUUUGCCAAGAAUGUUUUCUUUAAUCAAGAGCGAAAGUCAGAGGUUCGAAGACGAUCAGAUACCGUCCUAGUUCUGACUAUAAACGAUGCCAACUAGCGAUCGGGGGGCGUUAGUUUUACGACCUCUCCGGCAGCUUGCGGGAAACCAAAGUCUUUGGGUUCCGGGGGAAGUAUGGUUGCAAAGCUGAAACUUAAAGGAAUUGACGGAAGGGCACCACCAGGAGUGGAGCCUGCGGCUUAAUUUGACUCAACACGGGAAAUCUCACCCGGCCCGGACACAGUGAGGAUUGACAGAUUGAGAGCUCUUUCUUGAUUCUGUGGGUGGUGGUGCAUGGCCGUUCUUAGUUGGUGGAGCGAUUUGUCUGGUUAAUUCCGAUAACGAACGAGACUCUGGCUUGCUAACUAGUUACGCGACCCAAUCGGUCGGCGUCUAACUUCUUAGAGGGACUAGUGGCGUUUAGCCACACGAGAUUGAGCAAUAACAGGUCUGUGAUGCCCUUAGAUGUUCGGGGCCGCACGCGCGCUACACUGACCGGAUCAGCAUGUGCUCGCCUUGGCCGACAGGUCUGGGUAACCCGCUGAACCCCGGUCGUGCUAGGGAUAGGGAAUUGCAAUUAUUUCCCUGAACGAGG
RNAcentral lists this ribosomal RNA (954 nucleotides) under Ascidiella aspersa. RNAcentral's name for it is "SSU rRNA". It matches the Rfam family "Eukaryotic small subunit ribosomal RNA", at positions 626 to 1608 of the family's 1831-position model. Lineage: Eukaryota; Metazoa; Chordata; Ascidiacea; Phlebobranchia; Ascidiidae. The record is from RNAcentral.